GUGAAUCAUCGAAUUUUUGAACGCAAAUUGCGCUUCCUGGUAUCCCGGGAAGUAUGCCUGUUUGAGGGUCAGUAUUAACAAAAAAUCGGUUUGGUGGUGAAUUGUGACGUUUCCGGAGGGUGGGGUGAUCUUAACUUUUUUGGUUAAGGGGCUUAAAAUUGACAUUUUUUGCGCAAUUUUAGUCGUACAUAAAUUCUUUUGAUUCGUAUAUU
This 212-nucleotide unclassified non-coding RNA is filed under the name Glomeraceae sp. Its description in RNAcentral is "partial contains 5.8S ribosomal RNA and internal transcribed spacer 2". The stretch from base 1 to 71 matches the Rfam family "5.8S ribosomal RNA", at positions 84 to 154 of the family's 154-position model. The record is from RNAcentral. Lineage: Eukaryota; Fungi; Glomeromycota; Glomeromycetes; Glomerales; Glomeraceae.